Epinephelus lanceolatus (giant grouper) is the source of this 634-nucleotide non-coding RNA. The record is from the annotation of a RefSeq genome assembly. NCBI's taxonomy places the organism in Eukaryota, Metazoa, Chordata, Actinopteri, Perciformes, Serranidae.
AGAGUAUUUUCAGUGGAUAGAUGCUCGUUCACAGUGCAGGAGGUUUUUGUAUGGCUACUUAAUGAGUUUGUAUCACUGUGGUUCACUUUUGGUGGAGGAACCAAACUCAUCGUUCACUUGGGUGUGGUGCGGCCCACCCUGACCGUCCUCCCCCCCUCCAGAGAGGAGCUGCAGCAGGACAGUGCCACACUGGUGUGUGUGGCCAGCGGGGGCUUCCCCUCAGCCUGGAGGCUGGGCUGGAAGGUGGGGGGCUGCAGCAGCUCCUCAGGGGUGUCACACAGCCUGGAGGUCCUGGGGAGGGACGGCCACUACAGCUGGAGCAGCACCCUGAGCCUCCCUGCAGACCAGUGGAGGAAGGCGGGCUCAGUGAGCUGUGAGGCCAGUCUGAAUGGACAGAGCCCUGUCACUCAAAGCCUGGACCCUGACCGCUGCUCAGAGUAGAGAAACAACAGAGUCUCUGCUCAGUCAAAUUCUGCUUUUACAAACAAAUCCAACCUGCUGUAAUUAACAUGUGAUCUGCUGCCAUUCUGCUUUCAUGUGACUUCAUGUCUUUAUUUGAACAUUUAUACAUUGUUACAGUCACAUGCUGUCGUCUUUGAGGUUUUGAAACAGAAAUAAAUAUUUCAUGCACUUA